GAAACUACAUUUUCUGUAAUUAGAGAUUACUCUGGAUUUUAUAAAUAAGAAUGUGGUUCCUGUACCAGAUCUUGGAGAAGAGUACGCCUCUGGAAGUCACGGGAUAUCCAAAGCUGUCUGUCAGAUGUCAGGUCAGAUGGAGCAGAGAACCCCAGAGACAAGAAGGGAGGGGAGAAUCAGGAAUUGGCUUUUUUCCCUUUCCUGCUUCUCAGGUCAGAUAAAUUCAGAACUCUUAUUCUUAUACCCGCCUCCGCCUCAAGCUAGCCUAAAACCCACAAUCCAACUCCCUUGAUGAGGAUGAUCAUUAACAACAAUCACUAAAUAAGUACUUACUAAGUGCCAGGCACAGUACUAGAUAAAUAAAAUUGUCUUUUUAUCUA
This is a long non-coding RNA of Homo sapiens (human), 380 nucleotides long. Lineage: Eukaryota; Metazoa; Chordata; Mammalia; Primates; Hominidae. The record is from Ensembl.